Molecule: long non-coding RNA, 234 nt
Filed under: Arachis ipaensis
Lineage: Eukaryota; Viridiplantae; Streptophyta; Magnoliopsida; Fabales; Fabaceae
Description: long non-coding RNA (AIPA_LNC000516)
Source: RNAcentral
AAAUAUUUAUACAUAAUCUAAACUUAGAAAGGAUUGCUUAUUAACAACCUAAAUACUUAUUGUCCAAACAUUUUUCAGCGCACUUUCUGGCCUUUUUUGAAUGCGACCAAGGUCGUUUUAUGCAAUCAUCUAUGAUACAUCUUCUAUUUCACGAGACUCAGCGAAAACAAAACACAUGACUACUCCAAUAAUAAGCAACAUUAUUAUUACACUCUUCAUAGUCAUUUGUCUUUC